RNAcentral lists this ribosomal RNA (2019 nucleotides) under Triticum aestivum (bread wheat). RNAcentral describes it as "partial small subunit ribosomal RNA". Lineage: Eukaryota; Viridiplantae; Streptophyta; Magnoliopsida; Poales; Poaceae. The record is from RNAcentral.
AUGUCCGGCGGCGGAAGAGGAGGAGGGGAGGAGGAGGAGGUGGUGCACAUGGAGGACGCGGUGAACAUGCUCGUGGAGCACCUCGUGAAGCCCGUGCUGCCGCGGGGCGCGAUCUUUGGCGCCGCCCAGGGGGAGCGCCACAUGGAGCCGGACAAACAGCGCGCCGUCGCGCAGCAGAUUCACACGGCCAUCAUCUUGUACAACUACUACCACAGGAAGAUGUCGCCGCAGCUUGCAUUUGCAGAUCCCAAACGGUUUUUUGUGUGUGCUUCUCUUUCUGCUGGAGAGGAUCUGCUUGCGUACUUGAGUAUGGUUCAUGAGCGUGAGAGCAAUCCUGGCAAGCAUGUGAGGCUAUCUGUUACUGACAGAGCAGCGAUACAGGCAUGUGAGAUCGCUGAAGAACUCGACGCGAGCAAAGAUUCUCCAGACAUGGCAAUGUGGCCAAUAUCAAAAGUUGCUGUGCUUCUUCUUGAUUUGACAAGAAAAAAAUGUUUGAUUGAGUAUAGUGCUAAUACCAAGGGUAUCUGGUCAAUCAUAGAGAAGGAAAUAGAUGCAACAGCUGGUAAUUCACACAGUACCAACCAGCCAGCAGGCCAGGAAUCAACAGGUAAAGGAAACGUGGGUGCUCUGAAUACACCAUAUAUGCUUCGUCAACAAGCCUAUUCGGAGGUGGAACGUAGAACAGGUAUGAAGGGCUCAAACUUGCGUCUUCUCGAUGAAACUUUGGCAUACUCGUUGAGUAAAGAAAGGACGACUACCAAGUUAUUUAUUGUGGAGUAUGAGCAAACCAUGGAAGGCAACCUUGUAGAAAUGUGUCUAGAAGAGUUGAUUAGCAGUAUGACUGGUCCGCUAUUUGCAAAUGAUCCAUUUCCAAAAACAACAUCUGUAGUUGAGUAUUAUCACAUUCUUCCGUAUAAGGAGAUUUUGUUUGAACUCCUCCACAGGAAAUGGCCUUCUGAUUCUCCACUGAACGAACAAUCACAUCGACAUGGAAAAGGUUCAUUGCACUCUGUAAUAGAUGAAAAUGUGGAAGAGCAAGAUGUGAAUAGCACGUCUAAGAUGCAAAAACGAAUUACAAAAGUGUCAACUCCAAAGCAAAGCAAACAAGCAAUUGCUGCCAAUAGCAACCAGGACUACAGGACCAGCAAGCACAAGAGAAACAGCAAAAGAAAAUCUGAAGCCUCCAGGGCUGAUGUCUGUGCAGAGGGUCCAGAUGCUGAGAUCCACAGAAUAGAAAAUGGUCCACCUCCUGUUAUUAUUGAUUUGGAAACUUCAAAACCUCUGACUAAGUCAAGAAAUACAAAAGCUGCUGCAGCAGCAAGUCGAGAAACUAAAAUCCUACAAGCCGUGGAUAAGAACAAAACACAGAAGCAGUCUAGACGUGACAAUGUGCCCCAAGAUGUCUUUACUGCAGAGGCACCACAUGUUGAUCUAAUGAAGAACCGUGCUUUGGAACAUCAAAAUAUGGAUGUGUCAGAAAAGUCAGGUGGCACCACUGAGUACACCAAUGACCAGAUAUAUGAUUCGCUGCAAUCAAUUCAGAAAAUACGGGAUGAGAUUCUUCGCAAGGAAUGCAUACUUCAAGAACGAAGUGCUCAGUGUGAUAUGGACAUUCAGACAAUCUUGAGCGAAGGGAAGAUGACACCAAAAACUGCAUCAAUAAUACACAAAUACAAGGAAACUUGCUCAGAUAUGAUGGAUGUUGCCAAUUCAUCUUGCUCUGGAGAUGGUGGCCAAUCCAUCACUCAGAGGAAGGGAUUGAGGGAGGCACUCCUCCGACACAAUUCAUGCGAGGAGCUUGAUGAGAUCUGCCGUGGGGGCAAUUGGAUAUUCCCAAGAUACACAGUAGUACCUUCAGUAUCAGAUGGAAUGUUCCACGCCAGUGUACGUUUGACAUGCCCCGAGUUUGAGAUGAGCAUCACUGGUGGCCCUCGUCUGACCGCACACGAGGCAAGGUGCUCAGCAGCUGCCAAUAUGAUACUGGAGCUUCACAAGAAGGCGGAGGAGGAAGAACAGUAG